Molecule: long non-coding RNA, 638 nt
Filed under: Mus pahari (shrew mouse)
Lineage: Eukaryota; Metazoa; Chordata; Mammalia; Rodentia; Muridae
Description: lncRNA (MGP_PahariEiJ_G0002184.1)
Source: RNAcentral
AGAGAAGGACCGGACCGGCCGCCAUGUUGGAGCCCUGGAGCUGCGGCGAGCCGAGGCUUCGGGGGGCUCGAGGAGCCGAGAGGUGGCAUGGUGAGAAUGGUGAGGCUAGGGUGUACCACUUGAUAGCCUCGCGCACCGGCUAGGACGGAGGCUACCCAGGGGACCUUCAGGGCUGUCGAGCCAGAAAUGCCAUCGCGAGUCGGAGUGAACCCGCAGGGGUUGCACAAGGCCUCGCCACCCUGGGACACAGGGAGUCGCUUUACUUCUGAGCGUGGAGAACCCCUUAGACUUUCUGGGGAGACUCUCUGGUGUGGGGACUCGGGACGACGGGCCUUGCGCCUGUAGGACGAAAAGCUGGCGUACACCCUGUGUCGGACCCCUGCUCCCACCAUUGAAUUUUCGUUCGGUCGUGAAUUGCAAAGGGCCUCAAAGAAAUCCUUUGCUAGAUAAUGUGAUUGCGAAGGGUUGUGUAGCUUGGCCCUGAAAAUGACAAAGGAAGCGUCUACCAGAAGAAGUUAGCACCUAAUCUUUCUUACCCCACCAGCGAAAGUAAACGACAUUGAAAAGGGACUGCAAUGAGCAGUCUUAAUCGACUAACACUGAAUGAACUAUGCUAAAAUACUGUGUAUAUUCGAAGU